GACAACUUAUGUUGCAUUCAAAGAAACUCUGAUUUUCUAUGGCUCUAGAUUUAUUUAUUUAUCUACUUAAAGUCAGAGUUACACAGAGAGAGAAGGAGAGGCAGAGAGAGAGAGGUCUUCCAUCUGAUGGCCCACUCUCUAGAUGGCUGCAACGGUCGGAGCUGAGCUGAGCUGAGCUGAUCAGAAGCCAGGAGCCAGGAGCCAGGAGCCAGGAGCUUCCUCCGGGUCUGCUAUGGUUGUUUUUACAUGUGCCCUUUCAAGUGAAAUAACUAAAGUUGCUUCCAUUAGCGGAUAUCUGGAUGGAUUUAGAAACCAAGAGCUGCUGAAGGGAGGAGAGAACUUCCACUUUGACUAGGACCUUGUCUAAAUACGAUCAGAGUCGGCAAACUCAAAAGGCUUUCAUAGCCUUGGCAACUCAUGACAAGAGCCUAGGGUGAUUACUGAUGCCAUAAACAAAAGUGUCAAUUUGUUAAGUCCACAACAGAAGUCACUGUGCUCUUACUACUCAUGUAGUAUCUCUACCCUUAAUGUGUUGUACUACGUGAAUUAAUGCUAUAACUAGUACUCAAACAGUAUUUUUCACUUGUGUUUCUGUGUGGGUGCAAACUGUUGAAAUCUUUACUUAAUAUAUACUAAAUCGAUCUUCUGUAUAUAAAGAGAAUUGAAAAUGAAUCUUGAUGUAAUGGAAGGGGAGAGGGAGUGGGAAAGAGGAGGGUU
This is a non-coding RNA of Oryctolagus cuniculus (rabbit), 717 nucleotides long. Lineage: Eukaryota; Metazoa; Chordata; Mammalia; Lagomorpha; Leporidae. The record is from RefSeq and is a predicted model, not a curated record.